AGCUCCACUAGCGUAUAUUAAAGUUGUUGCAGUUAAAAAGCUCGUAGUUGGAUUUCUGACAUGGUGCGCCUGGUCCGCCCCGUAAAGGUGUGUGAGUACCGGUGUGCGCCUGUCAUCCUUCCGCGGAGCGUGCCUACCCUUCACUGGGCCGGGUACGCGACGUGGAUCGUUUACUUUGAAAAAAUUAGAGUGUUCAAAGCAGGCUAUACGCUUCUGAAUACAUUAGCAUGGAAUAAUAAGAUAGGACUUGGGUUCUAUUUUGUUGGUUUCUAGGACCGAAGUAAUGAUUGAUAGGGAUAGUUGGGGGUGCUAGUAUUUAACGGCCAGAGGUGAAAUUCUUGGAUUCGUUAAAGACUAACUAAUGCGAAAGCAUUCACCAAGGAUGUCUUCUUUAAUCAAG
RNAcentral lists this ribosomal RNA (400 nucleotides) under phytoplankton environmental sample. Its description in RNAcentral is "partial small subunit ribosomal RNA". It matches the Rfam family "Eukaryotic small subunit ribosomal RNA", at positions 587 to 981 of the family's 1831-position model. The record is from RNAcentral.